Molecule: transfer RNA, 62 nt
Filed under: Succineidae gen. n. sp. z RM-2021
Lineage: Eukaryota; Metazoa; Mollusca; Gastropoda; Stylommatophora; Succineidae
Description: tRNA-Gln
Source: RNAcentral
AUUUUAUUUCUCUUUUUAGGUGUUUUGCACAGGAAAGUUUGAGUUUCCUAGAGAGUUUAAAC